UUUCGGUUAGCUCAGUGGAUAGAGCACCAGAUUCGAGAUCUGGAAGUCACGGGUUCAAAUCCCGUACCGACCACCA
RNAcentral lists this transfer RNA (76 nucleotides) under Planctomycetota bacterium. RNAcentral's name for it is "Planctomycetes bacterium tRNA-Ser". The stretch from base 3 to 70 matches the Rfam family "tRNA". From Rfam's summary of the family: Transfer RNA (tRNA) molecules are approximately 80 nucleotides in length. Their secondary structure includes four short double-helical elements and three loops (D, anti-codon, and T loops). Further hydrogen bonds mediate the characteristic L-shaped molecular structure. tRNAs have two regions of fundamental functional importance: the anti-codon, which is responsible for specific mRNA codon recognition, and the 3' end, to which the tRNAs corresponding amino acid is attached (by aminoacyl-tRNA synthetases). tRNAs cope with the degeneracy of the genetic code in two manners: having more than one tRNA (with a specific anti-codon) for a particular amino acid; and 'wobble' base-pairing, i.e. permitting non-standard base-pairing at the 3rd anti-codon position. The record is from RNAcentral. Lineage: Bacteria; Pseudomonadati; Planctomycetota.